Molecule: ribosomal RNA, 250 nt
Filed under: uncultured prokaryote
Description: partial 16S ribosomal RNA
Rfam family: Bacterial small subunit ribosomal RNA
Source: RNAcentral
UACGUAGGUGGCAAGCGUUAUCCGGAAUUACUGGGUGUAAAGGGAGCGCAGGCGGGGUAGCAAGUCAGCGGUGAAAAUUAUGGGCUUAACCCAUAAACUGCCGUUGAAACUGUUACUCUUGAGUGGAGUAGAGGCAGGCGGAAUUCCGAGUGUAGCGGUGAAAUGCGUAGAUAUUCGGAGGAACACCAGUGGCGAAGGCGGCCUGCUGGGCUCUAACUGACGCUGAGGCUCGAAAGUGUGGGGAGCAAAC